UGAGGAAUAUUGGACAAUGGGCGCAAGCCUGAUCCAGCCAUGCCGCGUGCAGGAUGAAGCAUCUAUGGUGUGUAAACUGCUUUUGUACGAGAAGAAACACUGCUUCGUGAAGCAGCUUGACGGUAUCGUAAGAAUAAGGAUCGGCUAACUCCGUGCCAGCAGCCGCGGUAAUACGGAGGAUCCAAGCGUUAUCCGGAAUCAUUGGGUUUAAAGGGUCCGUAGGCGGGCCAGUAAGUCAGUGGUGAAAUCUCCCGGCUCAACCGGGAAAUGGCCAUUGAUACUGCUGGUCUUGAAUUAUUAGGAAGUAACUAGAAUAUGUAGUGUAGCGGUGAAAUGCUUAGAGAUUACAUGGAAUACCAAUUGCGAAGGCAGGUUACUACUAAUGGAUUGACGCUGAUGGACGAAAGCGUGGGUAGCGAACA
This 422-nucleotide ribosomal RNA is filed under the name uncultured bacterium. RNAcentral describes it as "bacterial SSU rRNA". It matches the Rfam family "Bacterial small subunit ribosomal RNA", at positions 355 to 774 of the family's 1533-position model. The record is from RNAcentral.